Molecule: ribosomal RNA, 484 nt
Filed under: uncultured bacterium
Lineage: Bacteria
Description: partial 16S ribosomal RNA
Rfam family: Bacterial small subunit ribosomal RNA
Source: RNAcentral
AGUGAACGCUGGCGGCGUGCUUAACACAUGCAAGUCGAACGAGAACGGGUUAUAGCUUGCUAUAAUUGUCAGCUAAGUGGCGCACGGGUGAGUAAUGUAAAGGUAAUAUGCCUCUUACUAAGGGAUAACAAAUGGAAACGUUUGCUAAUACCUUAUACUUCUUAUUAACAUAAGUUAAUAAGGGAAAGAUUUAUUGGUAAGAGAUUAGCCUGUAUUGUAUCAGUUAGUUGGUGGGGUAAUGGCUUACCAAGACUAUGACACAUAACUGGUUUGAGAGGAUGAUCAGUCACACUGGAACUGAGACACGGUCCAGACUCCUACGGGAGGCAGCAGUGGGGAAUAUUGCACAAUGGACGAAAGUCUGAUGCAGCAACGCCGCGUGGAGGAUGACACAUUUCGGUGCGUAAACUCCUUUUAUAUGAGAAGAUAAUGACGGUAUUAUAUGAAUAAGCACCGGCUAACUCCGUGCCAGCAGCCGCAGUAA